UGCACUGUGUGGUAUCUGCAGCCAGCUGGUCCAUCAGCUGGUUUGUUCAAAAGUCAGUGCUAAAGAAAGUCUGCAUCUGGCAUCGUUGGUCUCCAUCCAGCCUGUGGUUGGAGUCCUGGUAUUGGUGCUGAAACAAAG
Nothobranchius furzeri (turquoise killifish) is the source of this 138-nucleotide small nucleolar RNA. Ensembl annotates it as small nucleolar RNA, H/ACA box 8. Its record names the gene SNORA8. The record is from Ensembl. NCBI's taxonomy places the organism in Eukaryota, Metazoa, Chordata, Actinopteri, Cyprinodontiformes, Nothobranchiidae.